RNAcentral lists this non-coding RNA (27 nucleotides) under Mus musculus (house mouse). The record is from RNAcentral. Lineage: Eukaryota; Metazoa; Chordata; Mammalia; Rodentia; Muridae.
CUGUCUCUGAUGGUGUCAUCAAGGUGU